AUGAACGCUGGCGGCGUGCUUAACCCAUGCAAGUCGAACGGAAAGGCCGAAGCUUGCUUCGGUACUCGAGUGGCGAACGGGUGAGUAACACGUGGGUGAUCUGCCCUGUACUUCGGGAUAAGCUUGGGAAACUGGGUCUAAUACCGGAUAUGACAAUCUCUUGGAUGGGGUUGUGGAAAGCUUUUGCGGUAUGGGAUGAGCUCGCGGCCUAUCAGCUUGUUGGUGGGGUAAUGGCCUACCAAGGCGUCGACGGGUAGCCGGCCUGAGAGGGUGUACGGCCACAUUGGGACUGAGAUACGGCCCAGACUCCUACGGGAGGCAGCAGUGGGGAAUAUUGCACAAUGGGCGCAAGCCUGAUGCAGCGACGCCGCGUGGGGGAUGACGGCCUUCGGGUUGUAAACUCCUUUCGCAACCGACGAAGCUUUUGUGACGGUAGGUUGAGAAGAAGCACCGGCUAACUACGUG
RNAcentral lists this ribosomal RNA (465 nucleotides) under uncultured bacterium. RNAcentral describes it as "partial 16S ribosomal RNA". It matches the Rfam family "Bacterial small subunit ribosomal RNA", at positions 29 to 507 of the family's 1533-position model. The record is from RNAcentral.